GGUCUUAUAUUCAAUUAUGAUGUUAAAUUGCAAAUUUAGUGGUGGGUGUAAGCCCUAAGGCUU
RNAcentral lists this transfer RNA (63 nucleotides) under Tetraphalerus bruchi. Its description in RNAcentral is "tRNA-Cys". The record is from RNAcentral. Lineage: Eukaryota; Metazoa; Arthropoda; Insecta; Coleoptera; Ommatidae.